UUGAUUGGACAAGAGACUCUAAACACAUCAUUUUGGAUCCUUCCCAGAAGCUGUUCUUUCUGUUAGAAGCAAUCUGUGGCAGCGGGGGUGUGGUCAAGUUUCUGCCCGGAGAGAGAGAAAGCGGUAGGGGUGCAUACACCUGAGCCAGAUUAUGAUUAACACCUGUUUCUAGUUGCAGUGAGCUUAGGGAGAGCGGUAUGAAAGGACCACGCCACCGACAAGAAGGAGAGAGAGCCUGAGAUCUUGAGUCCCGCUUUAAUUUAAGACAAUUAAAAAGCCUUACCUGAGACUGAAGAAACCUGGUUCCCUGUGUCUUCCUUCCCUCCCUGUGUGAAGUUUUGUUACACUGGUGCCAAAACCCGGGAACAUGGAACCGAAGGAAGUACGCCCCCUGGAGUCCUCGCCACUGGCUGAAGUCCUCAACUCCCUUGCCGGCCUGCACAGCUCCCACCAACAGGCCCUGCUUGAGCUCCAUCAGGACCAGAAUCACCGCUUCAAUGAGAUCCUCAGGGCUCAAGCAGAGGUCCGGCAGGCGAUCCGAAGCCUCCUCAGCCAGGAGAAAGCCCCGGCUGCAACCCCGGACAACACUAGUCCCUAGCCCCCGCCCUCACUCGUGAAGAUGGGUGCAGAAGAUGACCCCGAAGACUUCCUCGACCUGUUUGAGCAGAACGGCGAGAUCUGCCGUUGGCCAUGUGCUCAGUGGGCGGCCCGGCUUAUCCCUUUGUUGUCCGGGGAGGCCCAGCUCGCAGCUCAACAACUGCCGGCGGCUAGUCUCCUGGCCUAUGACGUCUUGAAGAAAACCAUCCUGCAGUGGGUUGGCCGGAGCCCAGAACAAUACCGCCAGCUCUUCCAGUCGAUAAAGUUGGAGAGGACCGCCGCCCAUUUGCCUUUUCUAAAUGUCUCCAUGACACCUGCCAGAUCUGGCUACUGGCGGGGGACCGCGACAUCAAGGGAAUUAUCGACCAAGUGGUGCUGGAACAGCUUAUCCGUCGGCUUCCAGAAGGGGUGGCAGAAUGGGUCCAGUAUCAUCGCCCGGCAUCGCUGGAGGAAGCGGUCCAGCUGACGGAUGACCAUAUGGUGGUGUACCCAAGGGCGGAAGAGCCCUCUCUCUCUCUCUCUAUCUUCCCCCUGUGCUUCCUCCAUCUCUUGCCACUCCCCCCUCCCCUCUCACUCUGUCCUCUCUCCAGGCCCUGUUCCUGCACCCCGGGGGCGUGGAAACCCACUGCUGAAGCUGGUUCCUUGCUUGCGCCAGUUUAUCCCUUUCCCAGCGACUUCAGUGCCUUCCCGUUCUCCCCCUUCCUCAGGUGUGGGCGUAGCACCUGGGCCAGCCUGCUGGCAUUGCGGUCAUCUGGAACACUUCCAAGAUCAGUGUCCUGUGAUGGAGCUGGGAACUUUUGAGGAACUUUAGUCCGGAUACCUGAUGCUCCACAGGCUGCCCCUGAUCAGGCUGGAGGGUACAGGAUACCGGUUUGUCCGGAUUCGAGACCCAGCUGUUUGGUGCUGCUCCACAUGUUAAUUACGAGAACUGACAUUUAGCGCAGCACUAAAAAUAACCAUAAUAACACACUGGUGAUGAUGAUGAGGAGGUGCUGAUACCCGGCUUGACGUGUGGCAAAGGAACGCCCUACUGUUUCCUCUGGCUGUGUAGCUACAGUCACCAUGACAGCGCAGUGACCCUGUCCCACAGGUGUGGAUGGGGGUCACAUUUGAUUGCAGUCCCUGCAUUUCAAACCUAAAGUAAACACCUGAAAUACAUAGAGGGGAGAGAUUGUCAAAACAAGAUGCUCUUUGUUGUGCAAUUAGAUCCCAAAUCCAGGCACGUCUGGGAUGGCCGCCGCCAAGCAGUGCGAAGUGUACGCAAAGGAACGCAAACAGCAUGCAGUAUGCGGAUGGCUGCUCGUGAUGGAGAUAAUGUCCAUAAUCUGGCACUGGCACACUGAUGGGAUACAACCUGUACUCUACGUUCACUGGGUGGGGCCCAUGGCCCUACCGCUGCAAAUAGCACAAACAUUGCUUUCUCUCAGCAUGGCAGUGAGCAGAGUGAAACAAUAGUGAACUGCGAUCACAUCAACAAUUAUGGUACAGUGUUUUGGCAAAUUAUGGACAUUGCAUGCUGUGUUUUUGGAAAACUAUUGUGGGUUUAAGAGGCCACUUGUGAAAAUUUUUCUAUUUUGCAUUAUUUUCUAAAUCCAUAAUGUUCAUUACAAAUUAUCCCUUACAAAAACUGAGAGUUUAUGACAAAUUUGCCGCAAUCUUGCCGCAAAAUCACCACUUAUCAUUUUCACAUGCAAAUGAGCUUUGCUGCAAACUUGUGGAAAAUUGUCCAUUGUUGCCAAAGGUUUGCUGCAGGUUCACCACUACCGGUGAAGAGCUGCAAACUUCUGGCAAACAUUUGCAUGUGAACUAAUGAGUGGCAAAUUUGUGGCAAGUUUGCCAGAACUCUAGAUUUUUUGUAAGGGAUAUUAUGUCCAUCGUAGGGCUGGGAAAUGUAAUGCGUUAAUUUCUGCGAUUAAUAGUUGACUGUUUAAUCACAUUUUAAAAUAAAUUACGCAAUUAAUGCAGGAUCCAUUUUUUUGUUUGUUUUUUCCCACUUCCUGAAAUGUAUUAAUGUUUUUCCCCACUUUCUGUGGCUAAAAUUGGUAUAUAUAAAUUUUCAGGAGGUACACACUCGGCUUGACUAGCACAGGAUGCAGUGCAUGCUUGUCAUUUUGCAAAAUGCAUGUAAACAUGGGAACUGAUUUACUGUAUGGAGAAUGAAAACUUCACCCGCAAACAGUGAGCCAUAUCUCUUCGCAUCACCCGAAAACGCUCUCCAUCUGACAUUAAAACUUCAGCAAAUGAAACUUUAGCACUCAAUUUAGUUUGUAUCUGUAUGUAUAAUGUCUAAUAAUGAAUUGGAAGUGUACACUUAAGUUUAUCUUGCCAAUAAA
Molecule: long non-coding RNA, 2930 nt
Organism: Myxocyprinus asiaticus (Chinese sucker)
Lineage: Eukaryota; Metazoa; Chordata; Actinopteri; Cypriniformes; Catostomidae
Exons: 3
Source: RefSeq, a predicted model, not a curated record